This 351-nucleotide ribosomal RNA is filed under the name uncultured Spirochaeta sp. Its description in RNAcentral is "bacterial SSU rRNA". It matches the Rfam family "Bacterial small subunit ribosomal RNA", at positions 1028 to 1382 of the family's 1533-position model. The record is from RNAcentral. Lineage: Bacteria; Pseudomonadati; Spirochaetota; Spirochaetia; Spirochaetales; Spirochaetaceae.
UGUAGUACAGGUGGCUGCAUGGCUGUCGUCAGCUCGUGCUGUGAAGUGUGGGUAAGUCCCGCAACGAGCGCAACCCUAUCAUCUGUUGCCAGCAUUUAAGGUGGGGACUCAGAUGAGACUGCCGGUGACAAACCGGAGGAAGUGGGGACGACGUCAAGUCAUCAUGGCCCUUAUGUCCUGGGCUACACACGUGCUACAAUGGCCGGUACAGAGUGAAGCGAAACCGCGAGGUGAAGCAAAACGCAGAAAGCCGGUCUCAGUACGGAUUGGAGUCUGAAACUCGACUUCAUGAAGUUGGAAUCGCUAGUAAUCGCGCAUCAGCAUGGCGCGGUGAAUACGUUCCCGGGCCUU